CAGCAUUCAUUCCAGCUCAGCGGUAGGACGUGGACGUGUGCAGUUUCUGUGCGAAACUCGUCGCUGAAGACGAACGUUUUUGGUUGGCUUCGAUUUCUUUGAAGGUCACGGGAAAUAGUCUACCUAACUUUCUGAUUGUAACAAGCAUACAUCUACAUGGACACGAAGAUGCGGCCUCUGUUUUUGGUAGUCAUAUGUUUCUACUAUUCAAGCACUACCUGUGGUUUUCCUAGUGCAGAACAGGACGGCCCCCAGCGAGCAUGUGAACCACGUAAAACAUUCGUGGCCUGGAAGAGCGUGAGGAACUAUUUGGUUCACCAUUAUCGCCAAUUCACAAUACCUGGGACGUGGACUGGGAAGCCGCUGGAGGUGCUACGCUGCCGUGACUUUCUGGACCCCUGCGGCGAGAAUGGCUUCUAUUGUGGCACCGAAACAGAAGAAACGCGCGAGGUCCUUAUGUUAAUAACCGAGGGUGGGAAGGAGGUCGCUAACCUAACGAUAGCAUACGUCCAGGAUAAAACCUGCAGAUGUUUAACUAGUCAGCCCAUUGUUGACAGCGUUGAAAGUCCGCCCUUUAUCUUUCAAUCCUCUGUGCAGACUUUUUGAAUGGGAUGAGACGUAAAUAAGAAACUAAUCGGUUAGUGUUUAUGUAUUUAGCGGGCUUAUGUCCUCAGGGGUAGUACUGACAGCGAGUAUGUUUUGGUCACUGCCAGGGCUACCAACUGAGACCACAUAGUACAGCAACAGGCUAGUCACUAGGUUAGCAUCCGAAACACCAACGCUUGUGUUACUUAUUAUUAUUAUUAUUAUUAUUAUUAUUAUUAUUAUUAUUUAUUAUUAAGAGCUUGAUGACUCGCGCCACGCUGCACUGGAACCCGAUGCUGCCUGUCAUGUGUCCCCUAACCUGCCCCCACCCGGGGCGGACAAACGUGUUUGCAGGAGGAGGGUAGAUGUGUCAUGUCUCCUCUACCACGCGUGCCUCUAACCUCGCAAUCCCCAACCUACUCCGCCCUCACCCCGGGCAGAAAAACAAGAAAGAUCCACUCGGAUUUUUGUUAUUAUCGAUUAUUAUUAUUCGAGCUAUGGUCGUACUUCGUAGAGCAUGAUGCUACAAUUACAAGGAAUCAUUGUUUGGAUUCGCUUAUGGGAGAAAAUAGGAAAAAAUAGUCGUAACUGAUGUAUAGAUCAGAGACGUGACAAAAAAGGUGUGAACAGAUGCUCUUUCCGGUUCCGGUGGGGUUGCAAGAACCACACCUAUAUAUGGCUUGUGCCGUAUCCGCAAUAAUUGCAGUGUCGUGGUUUAUGUAUUCCGAUGGUGAAGGCAUUUGUGGUGAAAGUUUGUAUGUCAAGUAAGAUAGAUUCAUGCAUGCUUUCCCCAAGGCACCUUCAAAACUUUCACCUCUCAACAAUCAAGUUUGGACAACGAAUGAACGGGAGAGAGAAUUGAGGAUAAAAUGUUUUCAGAGUUGAUCACCAGUCCGGCCACUGAUGUAACCUGAUUCUAGCUGUAGUGACAAUAAUAAUAAUGAUAACAAUAAUAAUAUUGAUGAUAAUAAUACGCGAUACUUAUCUGAGACAUGAUUUGUUUAAAAUUGUUUUUCAAGUUAGUUUAUAUUUCCUAUUUUGUUACAUAAAAGUUUCUGAAAUGUA
Macrobrachium nipponense is the source of this 1650-nucleotide long non-coding RNA. RefSeq lists it as uncharacterized. The transcript is spliced from 3 exons. Lineage: Eukaryota; Metazoa; Arthropoda; Malacostraca; Decapoda; Palaemonidae. The record is from RefSeq and is a predicted model, not a curated record.